RNAcentral lists this ribosomal RNA (1046 nucleotides) under Candidatus Altarchaeales archaeon. RNAcentral's name for it is "partial 23S ribosomal RNA". It matches the Rfam family "Bacterial large subunit ribosomal RNA", at positions 1 to 1018 of the family's 2925-position model. Lineage: Archaea; Nanobdellati; Candidatus Altarchaeota; Candidatus Altarchaeia; Candidatus Altarchaeales. The record is from RNAcentral.
GUGAAGCUACUAAGAGCGUACGGUGAAUGACUAGGCAACAAGGGCCGAAGAAGGACGUGGCACACUACGAAAAGCCUCGGGGAGCCGUGUGCAGGCGAGGAACCGGGGGUAUCCGAAUGGGGAAACCCGCCUGGGGGAAGCCCAGGCACCGUGGGAACACGGGGGGCACGCAGGGAACUGAAACAUCUUAGUACCUGCAGGAACAGAGAAUAUUCUCCGAGUAGUGGCGAGCGAAAGGGGAAGAGUCCAAACGGAGAUGGCUAAGUGGAUGUUGGUCCUAAGCUAUGUCUGGGUAGAGGACCUUAACGGGGGGAGCCAACACUGCCCCAGCGAGAGGGAGCGCGUUAGCCGAACGGCACUGGAAAGGCCGUCCAGAGAGGGUGAGAGACCCGUAAGCGAAAACGCGGACCGGCGCGGGUUAAGGGACCGGAGUACCACGGGGCACGCUAAUCCCGUGGGAAGCAGGGCAGCCCACUGUCCAAGACUAAAUACCCUGAGUUGACCGAUAGCGGACAAGUACCGUGAGGGAAAGUUGAAAAGAACCCCGGCGAGGGGAGUGAAAAAGAACCUAAAACCGUAUGCUUACAAGCAGUCGGAGCGCUAUGCUCGCGAGAGCCAGCGUGACGGCCUGCCUUUUGGAGAAUGAGCCAGCGAGUUACGUCUGUGUGGCAAGGUUAAGGCAGAGACAGCCGAAGCCGCAGGGAAACCGAGUCUGAGAAGGGCGAAAGUCGCACGGAGUAGACACGAAACCAGGUGAGCUAUCCAUGGUCAGGCUGAAGCGGGGCUAAACCCCCGUGGAGGGCCGCACCUUUCUCUAUUGCAAAAGGGUAGGAUGAACUGUGGAUAGGAGUGAUAUGCGAAACGAACUUGGAGAUAGCUUGUUCUCUCCGAAAUAGCUUUAGGGCUAGCCUUGCGCGGUAAAUCUUGGAGGUAGAGCACUGGAUGGACUCGGGGGCGCGAGCUUACCAAAUCCAACCAAACUCCGAAUGCCAAGAUUGAAGAGCGCAGGAGUCGGACUACGAAUGAUGAGAUCCGUAGUCGAGAGG